RNAcentral lists this ribosomal RNA (1382 nucleotides) under uncultured bacterium. Its description in RNAcentral is "bacterial SSU rRNA". It matches the Rfam family "Bacterial small subunit ribosomal RNA", at positions 28 to 1381 of the family's 1533-position model. The record is from RNAcentral.
GACGAACGCUGGCGGCGUGCCUAAUACAUGCAAGUUGAACGCUUCUUUCCUCCCGAGUGCUUGCACUCGAUUGGAAAGAGGAGUGGCGGACGGGUGAGUAACACGUGGGUAACCUACCCAUCAGAGGGGGAUAACACUUGGAAACAGGUGUUAAUACCGCAUAACAGUUUAUGCCGCAUGGCAUAAGAGUGAAAGGCGCUUUCCGGUGUCUCUGAUGGAUGGACCCCCGGUGCAUUAGCUAGUUGGCGAGGUAACGGCUCACCAAGGCCACGAUGGAUAGCCGACCUGAGGGGGUGAUCGGCCACACUGGGACUGAGACGCUGCCCAGACUCCUGCGGGAGGCAGCAGUAGGGAAUCUUCGGGAAUGGACUAUAGUCUGAGCGAGCAACGUCGCGUGAGUCAAGAAGGGUUUCUGAUCGUUAAAACUCUGUUGUUAGGGAGCACCACGGAUGGUGGUAACUGAACUUCCCCUGACGGUUUCUAACCAGAAAGCCACGGCUAACUACGUGCCAGCAGCCGCGGUAAUAGUAGGUGGGCAGCGUUGUUCCGGAUUUAUUGGGCGUAAAGCGAGCGCAGCCGGUUUCUUAAGUCUGAUGUGAAGCCCCCGGGCUCAACCGGGGAGGGUCAUUGGAAACUGGGAGACUUGAGUGCAGAAGAGGAGAGUGGAAUUCCAUGUGUAGCGGUGAAAUGCGUAGACAUAUGGAGGAACACCAGUGGCGAAGGCGGCUCUCUGGUCUGUAACUGACGCUGAGGCUCGAAAGCGUGGGGAGCAAACAGGAUUAGAUACCCUGGUAGUCCACGCCGUAAACGAUGAGUGCUAAGUGUUGGAGGGUUUCCGCCCUUCAGUGCUGCAGCAAACGCAUUAAGCACUCCGCCUGGGGAGUACGACCGCAAGGUUGAAACUCAAAGGAAUUGACGGGGGCCCGCACAAGCGGUGGAGCAUGUGGUUUAAUUCGAAGCAACGCGAAGAACCUUACCAGGUCUUGACAUCCUUUGACCACUCUAGAGAUAGAGCUUUCCCUUCGGGGACAAAGUGACAGGUGGUGCAUGGUUGUCGUCAGCUCGUGUCGUGAGAUGUUGGGUUAAGUCCCGCAACGAGCGCAACCCUUAUUGUUAGUUGCCAUCAUUUAGUUGGGCACUCUAGCGAGACUGCCGGUGACAAACCGGAGGAAGGUGGGGAUGACGUCAAAUCAUCAUGCCCCUUAUGACCUGGGCUACACACGUGCUACAAUGGGAAGUACAACGAGUCGCUAGACCGCGAGGUCAUGCAAAUCUCUUAAAGCUUCUCUCAGUUCGGAUUGCAGGCUGCAACUCGCCUGCAUGAAGCCGGAAUCGCUAGUAAUCGCGGAUCAGCACGCCGCGGUGAAUACGUUCCCGGGCCU